Prunus persica (peach) is the source of this 2479-nucleotide RNA transcript. It is a transcript of the gene named F-box protein CPR30, with no coding region annotated. The record is from RefSeq and is a predicted model, not a curated record. Lineage: Eukaryota; Viridiplantae; Streptophyta; Magnoliopsida; Rosales; Rosaceae. The transcript has 5 exons.
CAUAUAUAUUCUUUCAAUUUCUCUCUUCUCCUCAGACACCAGCGGACAGGGAAAGAAAAACGCAAAUGGCUUCAAAAUGAGUGACUAGGGAAGAAGUUUCGUGCUCUGUUUUUUAGCAUGAAAUCCUUAACACUGACUUCGAGACUGAUCAAAAUUUUCGACUUCUUUCGACCAUGAAAGAAAAUGAAGAAAAAAAACGUGGGAUUUCCUUCAGAUUUUCUGGUAUUGUGGACCUGAAACUGAUGAAUAAAAAUAGGAGAAAGAAGAGAAAAGGCGGUUUGGUGUUGCUCAUUUGCUAGCUCCACGUUAACCUUACCUUGACCAAAAAAAAAAGUUAACCUUACGUUUGCACAACUCCCGUGGGAAAGUCAAAAUCACCCUUCUUUAUUCAAUUCUAAAGGGAUAAUUCUGUAAAAACGAGCGCUCUCGGCCUUAUGUUUCUCUCGCUUCUCUCCAACAAUCUCCACUCACACUCGCCCAAAUGUGAAACUGAAAACCCUAGCAGAGCGAAAAAGAAAGCAAAUUUAAGAAAUGAAGACUCCAACAUCUAGCAAAGAGACACAGCUUGAAAUCCAAGCAAUCAUGGCGGAACUCCCACCUGAGGUCAUCAUCAACAUACUCUCUCGUCUACAAGUUGGGCGCCUCCUCUGCUUCAGGUCCAUUGCCAAAACAUGGCGUUCCCUCAUCGACAGCCCCUAUUUCGUCGAUCUCCACCUUGAAAAAUCCGCAGAAGCCAAAUCCCAUCUCAGUUUGAUUCUCAGAAAGGACUCUGACCUCUAUUACAUCAAUUUCGAUUCCUUAGACGACGCCGUCGAGCUCAAUCACCCCCUCAUGUGUUACAGCAAUCGAAUUCGCGUCUUGGGCUCCUGCAACGGCCUCUUGUGCAUUUGUAAUGUGGCCGAAGACAUCGCUCUCUGGAAUCCAUCUACCAAAAAGUACAGGGUAUUGCCCUCUCUGCCCUCCGAUCGAAAGCGCGACUCGGGCAUGUGUUUGUGUGGUGCGAGGGUUUAUGGGCUCGGAUACGACGCCGGUCACGAUGACUAUAAGUUGGUCAGGAUUUCCCAGUUCAUCGGAUUGGAUUACCUCUCGUUUGAGUCUGAGGUGAAGGUUUAUAGCCUCAGAAACAAUGCGUGGAAGAAAGUCGAAGACAUGCCUUAUGUGCUCUGUUAUACACGAAAAAUGGGUAUUCUUGUGAGUGGUUGUGUGCAUUGGGUGGUGACCCGGCAGCUUGAAUUGGAUCAACUUGCAACCGAAUUGGUCAUUGCCUUUGACAUUGUGAAAGAGACUUUUCGGGAGGUGCCGAUGCCGGAGAGCAUGAACAGGAAAUGCCAGAUUGAUGUGGGGUACUUGGGAGGGUGUCUUUGUAUUGUAGCUAAAUAUGAAGAUGCGGGUGUUGAUGUUUGGACGCUAAAGGAGUAUGGGGUUAAGGAGUCAUGGAGUAAGUUGCUUACCUUAACGCAGGCUCGAAGGAUUAAGAGUGUUAGGCCUCUGGUGUAUUCAAAAAAUGGCCAUGAAGUUUUGUUGGAACAAGACCACGAAAAUCUUGUUUGGUUUGACUUGAAAAGUCAGAGGGUCAAGAGUGUUAAGGUUCGCGGUUUGCCGGAUUUGUUUGAGGCUGUAGUUUGUAUGGAAAGCCUUGUUUCAGUUCAUCCUAGUAGACGAGAUGAUAGGAAAAAGCAGGAAUCUGUAGGGGGGAAGAAGAAUAAGAAGAGGGAUGAUUUCCUGGCUGAAGGCUUCAAGUUGGUGCUUUAGGCAAUCAGAAAAGAAGACAAGAACAAAGAGUGGAGAGGCUGAAGAUGAAGGAACCAUGUUGAAUUUGAGCUGAGCACAUCCGUGUGUCAAACGACUAGAGCAUAAUUACCUUACAAUACUUAAACUUCCUUUGUAGGAACAUACUCAAGUCAGGUUUUGUCCAAUCAUUACCAUAUCAGGUGCGCAUUUCUUCUUCCACAGCUGCUAACCAACAACAAGGAGGUGCCUUCUUUUGGGAGGAAAAGACAACAGCCUAUCUGACUCUGUAUUGAACUUUGUUGGCCAGCUCCAGCUCUGGUCGUCCAGGCGAGAGUGAUAUUAUUAUUGACAAGUGUCACACUUUUUCACUAUGUAUUGGAUUCAGAGCGAUGUUAAUUUAGAUGGUCUAUCUAUUGGCUUAGCUUGCGGGCGAGGAGCUGAUUAAAAUAGGUCGUCAGUGAUACUGAAGGAGGAGCGCUUAGAAACUAGUUUUCUAAAGUCAUCUGAUUGCAUUUGCAGACCAGAGACUUUUUUGGUUUUAGUAUUCAUAUUUGGGCACCUAAAAGGUGAGAAGACUGGAGGAAGAAGCUCCUUGGAGGCUAAGUAAAGCCAAUUUCCAUAUUUGAUUGGGAAUUUUCAUUUCAUUGUCCAUUUAAAACACUGUUCCACUCAAUCCAUUGUGUAUUUUAUGUUUUCAUUAGUUUAAUAAUAAGCUGCUGCUGAUAUUGGCAGCUGAAACAAGCUCAGA